This 253-nucleotide ribosomal RNA is filed under the name uncultured bacterium. RNAcentral's name for it is "partial 16S ribosomal RNA". It matches the Rfam family "Bacterial small subunit ribosomal RNA", at positions 524 to 776 of the family's 1533-position model. The record is from RNAcentral.
GACAAAGGUGCCGAGCGUUAGGCGGAAUCACUGGGCUUAAAGCGUGUGUAGGCGGAUCGUUAAGUACCUUGUGAAAUCCCACGGCUCAACCGUGGAACUGCUGGGUAUACUGGCGAUCUUGAGCCACCUAGGGGCGAGCGGAACAAGCGGUGGAGCGGUGAAAUGCGUAGAUAUCGCUUGGAACGCCGACGGUGAAAACAGCUCGCUGGGGGUGUGCUGACGCUGAGACACGAAAGCCAGGGGAGCGAACGGG